AGAGAAGUGGCGGGCUUCGGGUGGGUUGGGGUGAGGGGAGUGAAUGACGUUUCCAGAGACUCCGAGGAAAGAAAGGUUCCACAAUCGGGGUUCCAGUGUCCCGGGUGCUGGUCCGUCUACCAGGCACUCUGUCCCCUCGAUCCCUUGUCUGUUUGCAGGUUUGUAGGUCUGCUGGCCUGUAAGGCUCGGCGCAAGUCUCAGCUAGAGAAGGAGAAAACUGCCUUGGUUGGAACCUUGCAGGUCAAUGUGAAGACUCUGUCUAUCACCGUGGAAGGACCACUAACAACAGAAGACAAGGGAAAACGAAGGAAUUUACGCGACUUUUGUAGAGAUUCAUCACAAGAGAGCUACUGGAGCCUGGAAGAAGCUGAAGACUGCUACCCUCCAUCGUUACUCAUCCUGGACCUAAGAGACCUCUUCAAUCAGAUGUCAAAGAAUCUGCAGAGGGUGUCACUGAAGAUCCAGCCUUAGCCAAUCACCGCCUCAUUGGGUGAAAGUUCCAGCGCUCAAUCCAGGACCACGCUCUUAUUGGCCAGGCAGGGGCUCCCACAGAGCUUUGAGUAACUUCUUGGUUGUGCAGGCUGCAGGCAAUGUUGGCAUUGUAAAUUCCUCCCUGGCAGCCUCCUUCACGAGGUGAGGGGAUCACUUCGGCUGCCUGCUGUGGACAAAGAACAUCCAAUUACAGCAUCACGAGUGCUAUUGUUGCCUGUGGUGGUCUCCCUGCCCAAGCGGGACCGCUUUGCAGAGACCAGACGCGUAUCGCAGCUUGAGCUGAAAAUGCAUUUGUUGCAGCUUAGGUUGAAUUAUUUUUCGUUUACCCUUUCUUCUACACGCGCCUGAUGGAUGGUGAACCUAUUCAUGAAAAAUGUGCACUGCUCUUCUGUCUAUUGUACUGACUUUAACCUCUUCCACCCAGGCCGGCAUCUGUGUGUAUCAUCAAUAAAGUUGUGUGCUUUGAUUGGCAGAAAAGAGGUAUGGUCCUUGUCCUUGAGUU
Long non-coding RNA from Aotus nancymaae (Ma's night monkey), 994 nucleotides. NCBI's taxonomy places the organism in Eukaryota, Metazoa, Chordata, Mammalia, Primates, Aotidae. The record is from Ensembl.